RNAcentral lists this ribosomal RNA (588 nucleotides) under uncultured bacterium. RNAcentral describes it as "bacterial SSU rRNA". It matches the Rfam family "Bacterial small subunit ribosomal RNA", at positions 338 to 916 of the family's 1533-position model. The record is from RNAcentral.
CCUACGGGAGGCAGCAGUGGGAAAUUUUGGACAAUGGGCGCAAGCCUGAUCCAGCAAUGCCGCGUGAGUGAAGAAGGCCUUCGGGUUGUAAAGCUCUUUUGUCAGGGAAGAAACGGCCGAGGCUAAUACCUUUGGCUAAUGACGGUACCUGAAGAAUAAGGCACCGGCUAACUACGUGCCAGCAGCCGCGGUAAUACGUAGGGUGCAAGCGUUAAUCGGAAUUACUGGGCGUAAAGCGUGCGCAGGCGGUUUUGUAAGUCUGACGUGAAAUCCCCGGGCUCAACCUGGGAAUUGCGUUGGAGACUGCAAGGCUGGAGUCUGGCAGAGGGGGGUAGAAUUCCACGUGUAGCAGUGAAAUGCGUAGAGAUGUGGAGGAACACCGAUGGCGAAGGCAGCCCCCUGGGUCAAGACUGACGCUCAUGCACGAAAGCGUGGGGAGCAAACAGGAUUAGAUACCCUGGUAGUCCACGCCCUAAACGAUGUCUACUAGUUGUCGGGUCUUAAUUGACUUGGUAACGCAGCUAACGCGUGAAGUAGACCGCCUGGGGAGUACGGUCGCAAGAUUAAAACCGUUAAAGGAAUUGACGG